AAAUAAUCAAAUCAACUUUGGCUACCUUAAGGUUGAAUAGUCCACGCUAGCUAGUCUUAAGAUUGAAAGCCUUGCCUUACAUAGUAUUCAAAAUAUGUCACACGUAGAUCCAAUGUAACAGUUAUGGAAUAUUGGCCAACCAUGAUCAUUCAUUAGCACCUUAAUUACUUUCUUAAGUUGUGAAUACUAAUUAUUACGUCAUUA
This 204-nucleotide long non-coding RNA is filed under the name Trifolium pratense (red clover). RNAcentral describes it as "long non-coding RNA (TPRA_LNC012877)". The record is from RNAcentral. Lineage: Eukaryota; Viridiplantae; Streptophyta; Magnoliopsida; Fabales; Fabaceae.